This 72-nucleotide transfer RNA is filed under the name Pseudomonadota bacterium. RNAcentral's name for it is "tRNA-Gly". It matches the Rfam family "tRNA". Rfam says of the family: Transfer RNA (tRNA) molecules are approximately 80 nucleotides in length. Their secondary structure includes four short double-helical elements and three loops (D, anti-codon, and T loops). RNAcentral also lists the same sequence under 5 other names. The record is from RNAcentral. Lineage: Bacteria; Pseudomonadati; Pseudomonadota.
GCGGGUGUAGUUCAGUGGUAGAGCGUCAGCUUCCCAAGCUGAAUGUCGCGGGUUCGAAUCCCGUCGCCCGCU